CGAACCGCGGCUUGGGAGAGCUGUGCGGUUUACGGGAUCCACGGCGAGCUUGGGAGAGCGAACCGCGGGAACUUAGGGGAGAACCACCGAUGGAGAAUAUGCUUCUCGUCGGACUGUCGCGGCAGAUGACGCUUC
Molecule: regulatory RNA element, 135 nt
Organism: Tardiphaga sp.
Lineage: Bacteria; Pseudomonadati; Pseudomonadota; Alphaproteobacteria; Hyphomicrobiales; Nitrobacteraceae
Rfam family: flg-Rhizobiales RNA
Source: Rfam